RNAcentral lists this long non-coding RNA (990 nucleotides) under Cyanistes caeruleus (blue tit). Its description in RNAcentral is "lncRNA (ENSCCEG00000003702.1)". Lineage: Eukaryota; Metazoa; Chordata; Aves; Passeriformes; Paridae. The record is from RNAcentral.
GACCCCGGCGCCAGGCCCAGCUCCAGGCCCGGGUCCUCCAGCUCCAGGCUCAGCUCUGGGCCCAGCUCCGGGCCCGGGUCCCUCAGCACCAGGCCCGGGUUCCCCAGCUCCAGGCCCAGCUCCAAUUCCAGGCCUCAGCCCCUGCUGCAGUUCCAGCCCCAGCUCCAGGCUCUAAGCCCAGUUCCAGCUUCAGCCCCCAGUCCCGACCCCAGCUCCAGCCCCAGACCCUGCUUCCAGGCCCAAUCCCAGCCUCAGCUCCAGCUCCAGGCCGUGCUGGUGACAACACUACACCCUGCACUUUGACUAAAAUUCAGCAAAAUGUGGUCUGUGUGUUUGCCUGGCCAUGACACAAUUGGAUCAUUCCCUGGAAUAUUUAUUGGAGUCAGAGUCAGCAUCAUCACUGUGGUUUCUCUGAGGGCAGGGGAACAAGUUCAUGGGAAGCUGUGACAAACACCUUACUCAGUGUUCACACAGCAACAUAAUUCCUGCCACAUCUAUAGAAGAAGAAUUUGCUGCCUGUGCCUGCUGGGCCUACUCUUCUUCAGGACCACGAGAUCUUCACCAGCCACUACAAAUCCUCCAAGAUGUCCAUCAAAAGAUGUUCUGAAGACCUUGCCGUGGUCCAUUUCUCUUUGUUUGCCAUUGGCAUUGCCCAACAAACCCUUUUGACUGCCACCCAAAGACAAAACACCCUUAGGACUUGGUCCUAAUUAAUUUCUCUUUCACCUACAUGUGUGGGUGUCCGGCUUUCACUGGCGAGGCGGCUGCUUGCGUUCCUCCAGACACGUGAGAGCAGUGCCCAGGGAUUAUGUCACAGCCAUGGUGUGACCUCGCACGACAAUCCUUCCUACCAGAGCCAUUGAACUUCACAUUAACUCAGCCAAACAUGUGCCUGUUCAGUCUGUGAUCAUUGUGGCCUCGCUGGGUGAGGGGGUGGGUGCUUUGUUGACAUGAAAAUAACACAGUUCACUUGCAGCAGUCAAACUCAGU